RNAcentral lists this ribosomal RNA (467 nucleotides) under uncultured bacterium. RNAcentral describes it as "partial 16S ribosomal RNA". It matches the Rfam family "Bacterial small subunit ribosomal RNA", at positions 28 to 506 of the family's 1533-position model. The record is from RNAcentral.
GACGAACGCUGGCGGCGUGCUUAACACAUGCAAGUCGAACGGAAAGGCCCUGCUUUUGUGGGGUGCUCGAGUGGCGAACGGGUGAGUAACACGUGAGUAACCUGCCCUUGACUUUGGGAUAACUUCAGGAAACUGGGGCUAAUACCGGAUAGGAGCUCCUGCUGCAUGGUGGGGGUUGGAAAGUUUCGGCGGUUGGGGAUGGACUCGCGGCUUAUCAGCUUGUUGGUGGGGUAGUGGCUUACCAAGGCUUUGACGGGUAGCCGGCCUGAGAGGGUGACCGGCCAGAUGGGGACUGAGAUACGGCCCAGCCUCCUCCGGGGGGGAGCAUGGGGGAAUAUUGCCAAAGGGGCGGAAGCCUGAGGGAGCACGCCGGGGGGGGGGAUGACGGCCUUCGGGUUGUAAACCGCUUUCCCCUGUGACGAAGGGUAAGGGACGGUAAUGGGUAAAGAAGCCCCGGCAAACUACGU